Molecule: ribosomal RNA, 710 nt
Filed under: uncultured bacterium
Lineage: Bacteria
Description: bacterial SSU rRNA
Rfam family: Bacterial small subunit ribosomal RNA
Source: RNAcentral
GGCGGCGGACGGGUGAGUAACGCGUGGGUAACCUGCCCUGUACACACGGAUAACAUACCGAAAGGUAUGCUAAUACGAGAUAAUAUGCUUUUAUCGCAUGGUAGAAGUAUCAAAGCUCCGGCGGUACAGGACGGACCCGCGUCUGAUUAGCUAGUCGGUAAGGUAACGGCUUACCAAGGCGACGAUCAGUAGCCGACCUGAGAGGGUGAUCGGCCACAUUGGAACUGAGACACGGUCCAAACUCCUACGGGAGGCAGCAGUGGGGAAUAUUGCACAAUGGGCGAAAGCCUGAUGCAGCAACGCCGCGUGAGCGAUGAAGGUCUUCGGGUCGUAAAGCUCUGUCCUCAAGGAAGAUAAUGACGGUACUUGAGGAGGAAGCCCCGGCUAACUACGUGCCAGCAGCCGCGGUAAUACGUAGGGGGCUAGCGUUAUCCGGAAUUACUGGGCGUAAAGGGUGCGUAGGUGGUUUCUUAAGUCAGAGGUGAAAGGCUACGGCUCAACCGUAGUAAGCCUUUGAAACUGGGAAACUUGAGUGCAGGAGAGGAGAGUGGAAUUCCUAGUGUAGCGGUGAAAUGCGUAGAUAUUAGGAGGAACACCAGUUGCGAAGGCGGCUCUCUGGACUGUAACUGACACUGAGGCACGAAAGCGUGGGGAGCAAACAGGAUUAGAUACCCUGGUAGUCCACGCCGUAAACGAUGAGUACUAGCUGU